RNAcentral lists this ribosomal RNA (497 nucleotides) under uncultured bacterium. Its description in RNAcentral is "partial 16S ribosomal RNA". It matches the Rfam family "Bacterial small subunit ribosomal RNA", at positions 28 to 507 of the family's 1533-position model. The record is from RNAcentral.
GAUGAACGCUGGCGGCGUGCCUAAUACGUGCAAGUCGAGCGAACGGACGAGGAGCUUGCUCCUUUGACGUUAGCGGCGGACGGGUGAGUAACACGUGGAUAACCUACCUAUAAGACUGGGAUAACUUCGGGAAACCGGAGCUAAUACCGGAUAAUAUAUUGAACCGCAUGGUUCAAUAGUGAAAGACGGUUUUGCUGUCACUUAUAGAUGGAUCCGCGCCGCAUUAGCUAGUUGGUAAGGUAACGGCUUACCAAGGCAACGAUGCGUAGCCGACCUGAGAGGGUGAUCGGCCACACUGGAACUGAGACACGGUCCAGACUCCUACGGGAGGCAGCAGUAGGGAAUCUUCCGCAAUGGGCGAAAGCCUGACGGAGCAACGCCGCGUGAGUGAUGAAGGUCUUCGGAUCGUAAAACUCUGUUAUUAGGGAAGAACAAAUGUGUAAGUAACUAUGCACGUCUUGACGGUACCUAAUCAGAAAGCCACGGCUAACUACGUG